RNAcentral lists this ribosomal RNA (573 nucleotides) under Triticum aestivum (bread wheat). RNAcentral describes it as "partial small subunit ribosomal RNA". The record is from RNAcentral. Lineage: Eukaryota; Viridiplantae; Streptophyta; Magnoliopsida; Poales; Poaceae.
AUGGAGAAAACUGAAUCGGUGAACGACUAUGCCAUGCGUCUGACUACUUUGGUGGGAGAGAUCCACGCGCUUGGUGCAAAGCUCGACGAGACCGAGAUUGUGGAGAAGUUUUUCAGUUCGGUGACUGAUAAAUUCACGUACAUCAUCGGCACGCUCGAGCAGCUUUACGACAUCGACGACAUGACCAUAACGGAGGCGAUCGGAUGCUUGCGGACGUGGGAAGAGAAUGCUCGUGGAUGUCGGAAAGGCAAAGGAGGAGGUGAUGACCAACUCAUGUACUCACGCGCAGAUUGGGAGUCCCCAAGUAGCAAAGGAAGGCGCAACUUUGGCGAAGGCUCAAGCAACGCGAAGCGCGGCGGACAAACCGAAGAAAGCAAAGGAAAAGACAAGGCACAAGGUCGUGGUAAGGCGGACCGGUCUAAAGAGCGGAAGCCACGGAACUUGGAUAUGUCUGAGGUCAAGUGCUAUAACUGCAACGAGAUGGGUCACUUUGCGAAGGAUUGUCCGGAGCCUAACAAGCGGGAGAUCAAAGCAAAUUUGGCGAAGCAGGAAGUCGAACGCCAGGUCUUCUGA